RNAcentral lists this small RNA (919 nucleotides) under Pongo abelii (Sumatran orangutan). RNAcentral describes it as "retained intron". Lineage: Eukaryota; Metazoa; Chordata; Mammalia; Primates; Hominidae. The record is from RNAcentral.
GUUGGCAUGUGAUCCUUCAGAAGUGAAUAUCAUCUUUCAUGGGGUGGCAAAAAUGCCACUAUUUUGAGAAAGUCUUUUUGAUUCCUGGAUACCUGUAAUGACCUAAAGCUCUUUUAUGCCUUUUGGAACCUUGUAUCUUGUAUUGUUUAUUUUUGUUUUCUCCAUUAAGUCAUCUGGCUCCAAACAGCAGUUUUAACCUCAUUCGUCUCUGUAUGUUGCUUUAUCCCCUCUACACUGCAUUGCUGUAGUGGGCACUCAGAGUGUGAAUGUUGGUAGUGGAUUUUUACUUUUUGUUGGCAAAUUGCGCUGAUUUGAUUCCAGCUAUGGAAAACAUUAAAAAAAAAAAUUCAACAUUGUCUUUACACUCACAGGAAAUCCUAGGUAACUAUUGUCAUUAAUUUUUAGAUGACAAAAAGGAACUUGGAGCAGCCAGAAGAAGUCAGUAUUACAUGAAAUAUGGGAAUCCAAAUUACGGAGGCAUGAAAGGAAUUCUUAGCAAUUCCUGGAAGCGAAGAUAUCAUUCCCGUCGUAUUCAGCGGGACGUGAUCAAGAAGAGAGCCCUGAUUGGGGAUGACGUUGGCUUGACGUCGUAUAAACAUCGACAUUCUGGGCUAGUGAAUGUUCCUGAGGAACCCAUUGAAGAGGAGGAAGAGGAGGAGGAGGAGGAAGAGGAAGAGGAAGAAGAAGACCAGGACAUGGAUGCAGAUGACAGAGUGGUGGUAGAGUACCACGAGGAGCUCCCGGCUCUCAAGCAGCCCCGGGAGCGGAGCGCGUCUAGACGAUCCAGUGCCAGCAGCUCAGACUCAGAUGAAAUGGACUAUGAUCUAGAACUGAAAAUGAUUUCCACGCCUUCACCAAAGAAAAGCAUGAAAAUGACUAUGUAUGCUGACGAAGUGGAGUCUCAGUUGAAAAAUAUUAG